Molecule: long non-coding RNA, 1314 nt
Organism: Chenopodium quinoa (quinoa)
Lineage: Eukaryota; Viridiplantae; Streptophyta; Magnoliopsida; Caryophyllales; Amaranthaceae
Exons: 3
Source: RefSeq, a predicted model, not a curated record
CACUCCUAGCCGUUAAACACUCAAAUCCCACAUUCUUUUCUCUCUCCUCUCUCAUUUUGCUAACUCAAUCUCUCUCUUCUAUGACUGAUUCACCUCACUGAAUACACUCAAUCUCCUCCAUUUCACCGCCCUAAUUCCGAAAAUUUCCCCUCUUUCUCUCUCCUCUAAAUCGCAUCAAAAGUAGAGGACCCAAUUUAGGAUGUCUUUUGCACGAAUCUCGUUACUCGGAAGUGGAUAUUGUGGUGAUGAUUCUUGUAAAAAACAUCACAGUAUGUUAUGGGGCAAAUUGGAUACGCUCUUGUUCCCAUGAUUGCUAGGGGAUUUAUGCUAGGUACCGACUAGCCUGUGAUUCUACACAUGCUUGAUAUUCAUCCUGCUGCUGAGGCUUUAAAUGGAGUUAAAAUGGAGCUGGUGGAUGCUGCUUUCCGACUUCUUAAAGGUAUCGUUGCUUCAACCGAUGCUGCUGAAGCCCGCAAAGGUGUAAAUGUAUCUAUCAUGGUUGGUGGCUUCCCAAGGAAAUAAGGCAUGGAGAGGAAGGAUGUGAUGGCAAAUAAUGUGUCAAUGUACAAGUCUCAAGCAUCUGCUCUUGAGCAACAUGCUGCCCCCAACUGCAAGGUUUGUUAUUUAGCCCAAUUUUUUUGUAAAUUUUGAUAAAAGUUGUAAUUAGUGGUGUACACUAGUGUUUAUCAAUAUCAGAUUGGCUAUGAUAAUCAUGUACAUGAUUCAAUGUUGGCAUAUUUUUAUACUAUUUUUUCUAUGUCCUUGAAAUGAUAGUUAGGAGUCAAUGACAUGGUGUUUAUUCUGUGUGCUAGUCUCUAGUGAAUACAAAUGAAAACACGACCGUCAGAUCUGCUGGUUAAAUUUGUUACCUUCAGUUUGACUGGUGUUUAGAACUGCUCGUGUCAUACUGUAAUGUCCUGUUUUAUUUAAGCCUGUUGAAACCUGUUCAAUAUUAGAAUAACUGAGGAAAUAAGUGACAUGGUUGUGAAAUAUGUUUCGUACCACUUAUGGACAAGUUUCAAAUUGGUUAUUUGGUUUCUAAUUACGUACACCUGGGCUGGAUAAUCGAUUGUGUUUAGGUCGAUUAGAGGUCGUGCUUAGAUUGCGCUACAGUUGGGCCUAAGGCACGGGUAGUAGGGCCGAAACUCAUGGGAAGCAAAUGGGAGGCAAGUGUGUGAGGGACAUGUGGCAUAAGGAGAGUAUGGAGUGGGGAGUAAGUACGGUCCCCUACUCUCCAAGUGGUCCUCACAUACCUUUUCAUGUAAUAGUGACACUUGUAGAUUUAUUAUUAGUUUGCCUAUUUAUUUUAAUUUA